Molecule: long non-coding RNA, 115 nt
Organism: Limulus polyphemus (Atlantic horseshoe crab)
Lineage: Eukaryota; Metazoa; Arthropoda; Merostomata; Xiphosura; Limulidae
Exons: 3
Source: RefSeq, a predicted model, not a curated record
AUUUCUACAGAUACAUUAGUGGAGCUACUGACUGACCGUUAUAGUAAUGUGAUCAAUGGUUACACCAUCGUCGAUUGUCGAUAUCCAUAUGAAUAUGAGGGAGGUCAUGUUAUUG